Long non-coding RNA from Hirundo rustica (Barn swallow), 2571 nucleotides. RefSeq lists it as uncharacterized. The transcript is spliced from 3 exons. The record is from RefSeq and is a predicted model, not a curated record. NCBI's taxonomy places the organism in Eukaryota, Metazoa, Chordata, Aves, Passeriformes, Hirundinidae.
GCGCCGUGCGCCGCCCCCGUUCCACCGAGCCCGGGCCCGAGCGCGGCCCUGCACACGGAGGAGAGCGAGAGCAGUCUGAGACGAAUCGGCGGGCACGGACAGCGCUUCCGAGUGCUGCGCGCAAGCUUUUAGGUUCGCUAAGAACUGCUCUCCGUCAGGCUCUGGCAAGAGGAACUCACUCAGGCAUUCCAAGUGUAUCCAGGGAGCUGCUGUAAGGCUGGGGGUUGUGGCAGCUGCAGCGAGUCAAUAACAAGCACACACAGGACUGUACAGGAAGGCUGGACACAACAGCAGGAAGAAGGUGCCAUUAAACUCUCCACGGUCCUGCUUGGGCAGAGAGGUUGGACAAGGUGACUUCCAGGGUUCCCUUCCAACCUCAACUAUUCUGUCAUCCUGUGAGAGGCUCAAGAACAUUCUUCAAAUCUUUCUCAACCUCAUCAUGUUUAAGAUCCUCAACUGAUCCCAGUUUACAUCUGCUCUGGAGAGCUUCACCACCACUUUAUAAUUUUAAAGUUUUAUCUGUGACAGAAAGGACAUUUCCCCUCUGUGUUUGUCCCUAUGGGCCUGGCAUAGUGCUGGAAAGUCAGAGUGGAUAUCUGCAACAGACCAGAAGCAAGGGGACUAAAGGCUUCAGGGAGACAAAGGCUGGAAAGGGACUGAUAAGGGAAUGAGAGCAGCUCAGCAGAAAAACCUGAAACAAAGUGAGGAGAGAGAGAAAUCUGAUGUUAAGUCAAGUGGUCAAGGCGAUGAACGUGAUGGGAAGGAUGGAGAGAAACGGUUUUAACUUAGGUAUGAAACAUGGGCUGAGAGAGGAGGAUGUAAGAUUUAAAUAUGGAGUUACAGAAGAAAUGAGGCCUUUAGCUAAGCUUCCUGGGGGUGGUCCUAAGCCAUCCAGUGCAAACUCUUCAUCCACCAUUGCCAACCAUCACAGCAUGAACUAAUGUUCUGUGCUAACUUCUGAAAAAGUAACUGCUGAAAGAGUACUUUAUUUUUAAAAACAAUGGAAACAAACUGAGUGGGAGACACCCUUAUAACACUACUAAUGAUUUUCAAGUGUUUAAAAGCUUACUGCCCUGAACUGAAGGGUCAAAUUUCAGAAAGGUAACUAAAAUUAAAAAUUACUCAAAAAGGAAAAAAGGUUCCUGGUACUGAUGCAACUGUCGUAAUAUAAGUUAUCACAUCUUUUCCAAGCACAGAAUUUCAUCAUCUCUAGCAGUGUAUUACCAUCACCCACACCUAUCCAAACUAUUAAUCCUCCUUUUAAGGAUAAUUACAUCCUUGUCCUUAAUUCAGUUAUUAAAAAAGAUUAAAACCAACUGUGUAAUUGGAUCACUGAUGGUAUGAAUUCUCAGUUUUGAGACUGAUUUAUAAGCUCUGAUUUUGCUGAGAGUUCCAUUUUUUCAGGGUCUUCAGCAAAGAGUUUCAACUUAAAAAUUUGAGGGUAUUUUUGAAGUAAUUUGACAAUUAUCAGCAAAUUUGUUUCCUAUAUUCAGUUAUCUGGCAUUCAAGAUAAUUAAGAUCAAUUAUUCAAGACACUAUCAAGGAGUUGGAUUCUCUCUAUACAACAAGAACAAGGCUGCAAGCAAAAACCUGCAGCUUCAGGUAAUCCUUUCUUGCAUUAACUUCUACUUGAACUAGAGCACUUCUACAACACAGCAACCCACAGCUAAAUUUGAUGCAAAAUUCCAGUGUUUUGUCUGUAACAGUGCUCCAAAAAGUUAUUUCUGUCACAGAAAAAAAAAAAAAAAAAGAGAGAAACAAACAGCUAUAGCUUGAGUUCACCCAUCUUCAUAUUCCACCACCCUGGCCUUGAUCUACUGCAGCAGACAAAACAUUCACCAACCACGAAAGGAUGUCAGCUGAAGCCAGACCACUGAAAUACCUCAGGAAAGCACAAAGAAGAAACAAUGGUUUCAAUUAACCCUGACAGUUUCUUAGAGCUAGUGACUCCCUGUUUAAUCUGGUCAUAGGGGCCCAGGAAAACUCUAGAUGGGGGAUUUAAUGAAAAACUGUAUAGACAUUUAAUUUCAGCUUCUGAAGGCACACUGAUCUUGAACCCUUGCAAAGACUACUUAUAAAACAUAGAGGAGAGAAGAAAUACCAAGAAGCUAAAGUAAUAGAAUAAAUUUGCAGCAAAAUACAUACUGUCCAUUCCCCAAACAUUCAUGAAGUGGUUAAAUAAAUUAGAAAUAUGAAAAGAAUAAAUGCCAAGUUGGUCCAAGUAAUAGAACUCUGCAAGUCAAUUCCAAACAGAAAAAAAAACAGAAGCAGAAAAAGAACAAUGAUAAAGAGAAGUUUAGAUUUCAAGUACCUGAGAAAUUAUACGCUCCCCAUCUUGAUACACCUUCUCUCCUAUAACAUCCACUAUCUUCAUUCGCUCUGAUGCCUGGAGCAAAGAGGAAAAUUAAAAAUGAUAAUUAAUUAUAGUUCAUCUCUGUGAACUCUCCUGAAUCUUUACGACCCCUCCUGAAAUAAACAUUUACUAGACACACAAAUACCCAAUUUAUAAAAAUAACCCCAAAAUGACAUUGAUAUAGUACUGCAACACAGGUCUUAAGACCACCAUAAUCA